RNAcentral lists this transfer RNA (84 nucleotides) under Kiritimatiellaceae bacterium. Its description in RNAcentral is "tRNA-Leu". It matches the Rfam family "tRNA". From Rfam's summary of the family: Transfer RNA (tRNA) molecules are approximately 80 nucleotides in length. Lineage: Bacteria; Pseudomonadati; Kiritimatiellota; Kiritimatiellia; Kiritimatiellales; Kiritimatiellaceae. The record is from RNAcentral.
GGGCAUGUGGCGGAAUUGGUAGACGCGCUGGAUUUAGGAUCCAGUUCCUAUGGAGUGCGGGUUCGACUCCCGCCUUGCCCACCA